Molecule: ribosomal RNA, 443 nt
Filed under: uncultured bacterium
Lineage: Bacteria
Description: partial 16S ribosomal RNA
Rfam family: Bacterial small subunit ribosomal RNA
Source: RNAcentral
CCUACGGGAGGCAGCAGUGGGGAAUAUUGGUCAAUGGGCGCAAGCCUGACCCAGCAACGCCGCGUGAAGGAAGAAGGCUUUCGGGUUGUAAACUUCUUUUCUCAGGGACGAAGCAAGUGACGGUACCUGAGGAAUAAGCCACGGCUAACUACGUGCCAGCAGCCGCGGUAAUACGUAGGUGGCAAGCGUUAUCCGGAUUUACUGGGUGUAAAGGGCGUGUAGGCGGGACUGCAAGUCAGAUGGGAAAACCAUGGGGUCAACAUAUGGCCUGCAUUUGAAACUGUCGUUCUUGAGGACUGGAGAGGCAGACGGAAGUCCUAGUGUAGCGGUGAAAUGCGUAGAUAUUAGGAGGAACACCAGUGGCGAAGGCGGUCUGCUGGACAGCAACUGACGCUGAGGCGCGAAAGCGUGGGGAGCAAACAGGAUUAGAUACCCCUGUAGUC